GACGAACGCUGGCGGCGUGCCUAACACAUGCAAGUCGAGCGGGAUCCAUCUGGUGGCAACACCGGGGAAGCUCUAGCGGCGAACGGGUGAGUAACACGUGAGAAACCUGCCCCGAACUUCGGGAUAACACGGGGAAACCCGUGCUAAUACCGAAUACCCUAUACCGGUCGCAUGGCCGGAAGCGGAAAGAUUGAUCGGUUCGGGAGGGUCUCGCGGCCUAUCAGCUAGUUGGCGGGGUAACGGCCCACCAAGGCAUCGACGGGUGGCUGGUCUGAGAGGACGAUCAGCCACACUGGGACUGAGACACGGCCCAGACUCCUACGGGAGGCAGCAGUGGGGAAUCUUGCGCAAUGGGCGAAAGCCUGACGCAGCAACGCCGCGUGCGGGAUGAAGGCCUUCGGGUUGUAAACCGCUUUCAGCAGGGAAGAAAAUGACGGUACCUGCAGAAGAAGCCCCGGCCAACUACGUGCCAGCAGCCGCGGUAA
RNAcentral lists this ribosomal RNA (485 nucleotides) under uncultured bacterium. RNAcentral describes it as "partial 16S ribosomal RNA". It matches the Rfam family "Bacterial small subunit ribosomal RNA", at positions 28 to 523 of the family's 1533-position model. The record is from RNAcentral.